This 1053-nucleotide ribosomal RNA is filed under the name Triticum aestivum (bread wheat). RNAcentral's name for it is "partial small subunit ribosomal RNA". The record is from RNAcentral. Lineage: Eukaryota; Viridiplantae; Streptophyta; Magnoliopsida; Poales; Poaceae.
AUGCCAACCACGCUUGACGCUUUUAGACCUAUCUCACUCCAAAACUGCUCGAUCAAAGCUGUUGCUAAGGUUAUCACUUCUCGCCUAAAGCCGCACAUCCCUCUGCUAGUUCAUGGCAACCAGACUGGCUUCAUCUCUCGAAGAAACAUCGCCGAAAACUUUGUUUUUGCUGCCGAUCUCAUUAGCUCUUACCACCCUCGUAAAAAACCAACGAUGGUUUUCAAGCUGGAUUUCAUAAAGGCUUUCGACUUUGUGGCAUGGCCUUCCCUCGAUAAAAUCCUGGCAAUUCGCGGGUUCUCUCCAAUCUUCCGCAGCUGGACCCAAAAUCUUCUCCACACAAGCAAAACGGCAGUACUUCUGAAUGGGAUCCCGGGCAAAUGGAUCCAAUGCAAAAAUGGGUUGAGACAAGGUGAUCUGGCCUCUCCAUACCUCUUCCUCAUCGUCGCCGACCUUCUAAAAUAGCUCAUCAUCCAGAAAUCUGAUCCUACUCUCCACCACCCCAUCUUCUCCCACCUGCCCCCCACAGUCCUCCAAUACGCUGAUGACACGCUCAUCGUUGUAGCCGCCUCUCCUGCCGCUGCUUCAACCCUUAAAGUAAUCCUAAAUAGUUUCACACAAGUCACGGGCCUCGCCAUCAACUUCUCCAAAACCACCUUAGCCACCCUCCACACAGACAAAGCCACGGCUGCCUCCAUCGCCCUCGUCAUGGGGUGCUCAUGUGCUUCCUUCCCGCAAACCUACCUCGGCCUCCCCCUCGCCCCGACCAAACCUCUCACCAAUGUUUUCAACCCUCUGGUCGAACGAACUAGGAAACUACUUACCGGCUGGCGUGCCAAACUUCUUGAUAAAGGUGAUCAGCUCAUUCUCAUUUCUGCGGUGCUAGAUUCAAUCCUCACCUAUUUUAUGUCUGUUUUUCACAUCCCAAAGAAAACUAUCAAAACUGUGGACUCCGUGAGAAGGAGUUUUUUUGGGCAGGAGACGAUGCUUGCUCGGGUGCUCAAUGUUUUGUUGCAUCGGAAAAUGUCUGUUUACCAAAAAAAAUCGGUGGUUUAG